This 468-nucleotide ribosomal RNA is filed under the name uncultured bacterium. Its description in RNAcentral is "partial 16S ribosomal RNA". It matches the Rfam family "Bacterial small subunit ribosomal RNA", at positions 28 to 507 of the family's 1533-position model. The record is from RNAcentral.
GACGAACGCUGGCGGCGUGCUUAACACAUGCAAGUCGAACGGAAAGGCCCUGCUUUUGUGGGGUGCUCGAGUGGCGAACGGGUGAGUAACACGUGAGUAACCUGCCCUUGACUUUGGGAUAACUUCAGGAAACUGGGGCUAAUACCGGAUAGGAGCUCCUGCUGCAUGGUGGGGGUUGGAAAGUUUCGGCGGUUGGGGAUGGACUCGCGGCUUAUCCGCUUGUUGGUGGGGUAGUGGCUUACCAAGGCUUUGACGGGUAGCCGGCCUGAGAGGGUGACCGGCCACAUUGGGACUGAGAGACGGCCCAGACUCCUACGGGAGGCAGCAGUGGGGAAUAUUGCACAAUGGGCGGAAGCGUGAUGCAGCAACGCCGCGUGCGGGAUGACGGCCUUCGGGUUGUAAACCGCUUUCGCCUGUGACGAAGCGUGAGUGACGGUAAUGGGUAAAGAAGCACCGGCUAACUACGUG